RNAcentral lists this long non-coding RNA (1284 nucleotides) under Mus musculus (house mouse). Its description in RNAcentral is "predicted gene, 40733, transcript variant 2 (Gm40733)". The record is from RNAcentral. Lineage: Eukaryota; Metazoa; Chordata; Mammalia; Rodentia; Muridae.
GCCCUUUGGGCCCUCUGCCUUCUGCACGGUGGGACCCACCCAACCAACAGGGCAGAACAGGGUACCAGACCUCUUGGAACUGGAGUUGUAAACUGCCAAGUGAAUGCUGGAAAUAGAACCCAGGAAGGGCAGCCAGCCAGUGCUCUUAUCCACUGAGCCAUCUCUUCAGCCCUGAAGAGACAGGAAAAGAAGCCACUACCAUGAUACUCUCUAAGGAGGUGACUCACGCUACCAUGUAAAGAACUACCUGAGGACCCAGCAAUACCACUCCUGGGCAUAUACCCAGAAGAUGCUCCAACAUGUAAUAAGGACACAUGCUCCACUAUGUUCAUACCGGCCUUAUUUAUUAUAGCCAGAAGCUGGAGAGAACCCAGAUGUCCCUCAACAGAGAAAUGAAUACAGAAAAUAUGGUACAUUUAUACAAUGGAGUACUACUCAGCUAUUAAAAACAAUGAAUUCAUGAAAUUCUUAGACAAAUGGAUGGAUCUGGAGGAUAUCAUCCUGAGUGAGGUAACUCAAUCACAAAAGAACACACAUGGUAUGCACUCACUGAUAAGUGAAUAUUAGCCCAGAAGCUCAGAAUACCCAAGAUAUAAUUUGCAAAACACAUGAAACUCAAGAAGGAAGACCAAAGUAUGGAUACUUCGAUCCUUCUUAGAAGGGAGAGCAAAAUACCCAUGGAAGGAGUUACAAAGUUUGGAGCAGAGACUGAAAGAAUGACCAUCCAGAGACUGCCUUACCUGGGGAUUCAUCCCAUACACAACCACCAAAACCAGACACUAUUGUGGAUGCCAACAAUAUUUUGCUGACAGGAGCCUGAUAUAGCUGUCUUCUGAGAGGCUCUGCCAGUGCCUGACAAAUACAGAAGUAGAUGCUCAUAGCCAUCCAUUGGACAGAACACAGGGUCCCCAAUGAAGGAGCUAGAGAAAGUAUCCAAGGAGCUGAAGGGAUUUGCAGCCCCAUAGGAGGAACAACAAUAUGAACUAACCAGUACCCUCAGAGCUCCCUGGGACUAAACCACCAAUCAAGAAAACACAUGGUGGGACUCAUGGCCCGAGGAUGGCCUAGUCAGUCAUCAACGGGAGGAGAGGCCCUUGGUCCUCUGAAGGUUCCAUGCCCCAGUAUAGGGGAAUGCCAGGGCCAGGAAACCAGAGUGGGUGGGUUGGUGAGCAGGGGGGGAUGGGUAGGAGGGUUUCGUGGGGAAACCAGGAAAAGGAAUAACAUUUGAAAUGUAAAUAAAGAAAAUAUCUAAUUAAAAAAAAAAGAAAAAGACUUAUUUCAUAA